RNAcentral lists this long non-coding RNA (252 nucleotides) under Daucus carota (carrot). RNAcentral describes it as "long non-coding RNA (DCAR_LNC003256)". The record is from RNAcentral. Lineage: Eukaryota; Viridiplantae; Streptophyta; Magnoliopsida; Apiales; Apiaceae.
AUUACUCCCUCUGUCCCAUUUAAUUGUAUACGUUUCUUUUUAACUGUUCGACACGCAUUUCAAUACUCUUAUAAAAUAUAGUUCCAUUACUUAUUUUUCAGAUUUUCUUUUUCUGAAUAAAAAUAGAACAUCCAAACUUUAAUUCAGAAAAAGAAAAUUUUAAAAAUAAAUUACACAACUAUACUUUACAGGAGCAUUAAAGUCCGUGCCGCGUCCCCGUCCCCGUCCCCCAAUGUAUACAAUUCAGGGGGA